Molecule: long non-coding RNA, 884 nt
Filed under: Malus domestica (apple)
Lineage: Eukaryota; Viridiplantae; Streptophyta; Magnoliopsida; Rosales; Rosaceae
Description: long non-coding RNA (MDOM_LNC016928)
Source: RNAcentral
AGGUUUUGAACUGUUUGAUGUGCUUGUAAGACGAUAAGUAUGACAGUACUAAUAAAGAUUUCAAUAUUUUAUUCUCUAGCUCCUUUAAGAAAUAAUCUUUAAGGGUUCUAUUCCUUUUUCCCAAAAUUAUUAUUCCUUUAAUUCCCAUAACUCAAAUCCAUAAAAUAGAUCUGAAUAUGUUUUAUUUUAUAUUUUAAUUUUUUCAUAUUUGUCUUGACCUUGGUGCGAUGGCAAGUGCCUUCGCCCAUGAGCGGUAGGUCUCGGGUUCGAGACUUGGGAGCAGCCUCUCCAUAAAUGGGGGUAAGGCUAGCCGACAUUCACCUCUCCCAGACCUUGCGUAAAGCGGGAGCCUUGUGCACUGGGUACGACCUUUUUGUCUUGACCUGAUUAGAAACAAGAGCCUUUGAGCCUUAGGUCAGGUGGUAAAAGGAUAGCGAUAUGGUUAGAUGGUGGCUUUAAAUGACAUCUAGCAACAUGUACGAAGAUAGGUUCAGGAAUAAAUCAGGGUUGGAUAUUUCUGCUUUCUUGUAUAUGGUAACGGUUUCGAUGAUUCUGCACAGCUAACGCUUCUAUUCGAUUAAUGGUUUAAGGUAAUUAGUAAUUCUGCUAUAUAUGCAAAAGCUGUCAUUAGAAAUAAUAGCUUUCUGAGCACUAUAAUGUGCGAGGAAUGGAAUUCCACGAUCAUAUCAUCCACUUAUUUGCUGGUAUCAGAGUCGUGUGUUACAUGGUCAUCAUUGGGCUGUUCAAACAUACCUUUUUUUUAAUUACUAAAACAAGAUAAAUAUUACAUUUCUCAAGAAUCUUAACUCCGUCUAGUGAACAUCAACUGCAGGUAGGUUUUUAUUUUAAUGAUUUGCAUGAAACCAUGCACGCUGAUGGUGUGG